This 3122-nucleotide ribosomal RNA is filed under the name Cryptosporangium aurantiacum. RNAcentral's name for it is "bacterial LSU rRNA". It matches the Rfam family "Bacterial large subunit ribosomal RNA". Lineage: Bacteria; Bacillati; Actinomycetota; Actinomycetes; Cryptosporangiales; Cryptosporangiaceae. The record is from RNAcentral.
UGUGGUCAAGUUGUUAAGGGCGCACGGUGGAUGCCUUGGCACCAGGAGCCGAUGAAGGACGUGGGAGACCGCGAUAGUCCUCGAGGAGCUGUCAACCGAGCUGUGAUUCGAGGGUGUCCGAAUGGGGAAACCCGGCAGCAGUUAUGUGCUGUCACCCGCACCUGAACACAUAGGGUGUGUGGAGGGAACGUGGGGAAGUGAAACAUCUCAGUACCCACAGGAAGAGAAAACAAGAGUGAUUCCGUGAGUAGUGGCGAGCGAAAGCGGAUGAGGCUAAACCGCGCACGUGUGAUACCCGGCAGGGGUUGCGUGAGCGGGGUCGUGGGACGGCUAUUGAUCGGUCUGCCGGCUGGUCGGGAAGUAAGAAAAUCAUUGUGUUAGUCGAAGGUUCUGGGAAGGACCGGCGUAGAGGGUGAGACUCCCGUAGACGAAAACGCAUGAUCUUCCUUUAGUUGUUCCCAAGUAGCACGGGGCUCGUGAAAUCUCGUGUGAAUCUGGCGGGACCACCCGCUAAGCCUAAAUACUCCCUGGUGACCGAUAGUGCACUAGUACCGUGAGGGAAAGGUGAAAAGUACCCCGGGAGGGGAGUGAAAUAGUACCUGAAACCGUGUGCCUACAAGCCGUCGGAGCAGACCUUCGGGGAUGUGACGGCGUGCCUUUUGAAGAAUGAGCCUGCGAGUUCGUGGUACGUGGCGAGGUUAACCCGUGUGGGGUAGCCGUAGCGAAAGCGAGUCCGAAUAGGGCGUGUGAGUCGCGUGCUCGAGACCCGAAGCGGAGUGAUCUAUCCAUGGGCAGGGUGAAGCGCCGGUAAGACGGCGUGGAGGCCCGAACCCACCAGGGUUGAAAACCUGGGGGAUGACCUGUGGAUAGGGGUGAAAGGCCAAUCAAACUCCGUGAUAGCUGGUUCUCCCCGAAAUGCAUUUAGGUGCAGCGUUGCGUGUUUCUUGCCGGAGGUAGAGCACUGGAUGGCCUAGGGGGCCCACAAGCUUACUGAAGUCAGCCAAACUCCGAAUGCCGGUAAGUGAGAGCGUGGCAGUGAGACUGCGGGGGAUAAGCUUCGUAGUCGAGAGGGAAACAGCCCAGAUCUCCAGCUAAGGCCCCUAAGCGUGUGCUAAGUGGGAAAGGAUGUGGAGUCGCAGAGACAACCAGGAGGUUGGCUUAGAAGCAGCCACCCUUUAAAGAGUGCGUAAUAGCUCACUGGUCAAGUGAUUCCGCGCCGACAAUGUAGCGGGGCUCAAGUACACCGCCGAAGCUGAGGCAUUUACACGAUGAACCUGGUUUCCGUUCCUGCGGGGCGGUUAUUGGGUGUGUGGAUGGGUAGGGGAGCGUCGUACAGCGGAGGAAGCAGCGGGGGAACCCAGUUGUGGACGCUGUGCGAGUGAGAAUGCAGGCAUGAGUAGCGAAUGACGGGUGAGAAACCCGUCCGCCGGAUGACCAAGGGUUCCUGGGCCAGGCUAAUCCGCCCAGGGUGAGUCGGGACCUAAGGCGAGGCCGACAGGCGUAGUCGAUGGACAACGGGUUGAUAUUCCCGUACCCGCGAAGAAUCGUCCCUGAUGAGGCAGCUUUGUGCUAACCACCCGAGCCGGCAGGCGUCUUCGGACAAGUGCUGGGGAGGCUGGGACCCCGGGUUGUAGUAGUCAAGCGAUGGGGUGACGCAGGAAGGUAGCUCAUCCCGGUGAAUGGUGGUGCCGGGCUAAGGGUGUAGGACGAGACAUUGGCAAAUCCGUGUCUCAUGGAGUCUGAGACCUGAUGGGGAGCCGUUGUGGCGAAGUGAGUGAUCCUAUGCUGCCGAGAAAAGCCUCUAGCGAGAUUCAAGCGGCCCGUACCCUAAACCGACACAGGUGGUCAGGUAGAGAAUACCGAGGCGAUCGAGCGAACUGUGGUUAAGGAACUCGGCAAAAUACCCCCGUAACUUCGGGAGAAGGGGGGCCGGAGGCGUGAUCCCACUUGCUGGGGGAGCGUUGUAUGGCCGCAGAGACCAGGGGAAAGCGACUGUUUACUAAAAACACAGGUCCGUGCGAAGUCGUAAGACGAUGUAUACGGACUGACGCCUGCCCGGUGCUGGAACGUUAAGGGGACCGGUUAGUCUUUCGGGGCGAAGCUGAGAACUUAAGCGCCAGUAAACGGCGGUGGUAACUAUAACCAUCCUAAGGUAGCGAAAUUCCUUGUCGGGUAAGUUCCGACCUGCACGAAUGGCGUAACGACUUUCCUACUGUCUCAACCACAGGCUCGGCGAAAUUGCACUACGAGUAAAGAUGCUCGUUACGCGCGGCAGGACGGAAAGACCCCGGGACCUUUACUAUAGCUUGGUAUUGGUGUUCGAUUCGGCUUGUGUAGGAUAGGUGGGAGACUGUGAAGCGGGCACGCCAGUGUUCGUGGAGUCAUCGUUGAAAUACCACUCUGGUCGUAUUGGAUGUCUAACCCGGGCCCCUGAUCGGGGUCGGGGACAGUGCCUGGUGGGUAGUUUAACUGGGGCGGUUGCCUCCUAAAAUGUAACGGAGGCGCCCAAAGGUUCCCUCAGCCUGGUUGGCAAUCAGGUGUUGAGUGCAAGUGCACAAGGGAGCUUGACUGUGAGACUGACAGGUCGAGCAGGAGCGAAAGCUGGGACUAGUGAUCCGGCACUGGCUGGUGGAAGCGGUGUCGCUCAACGGAUAAAAGGUACCCCGGGGAUAACAGGCUGAUCUUCCCCAAGAGUCCAUAUCGACGGGAUGGUUUGGCACCUCGAUGUCGGCUCGUCGCAUCCUGGGGCUGGAGUAGGUCCCAAGGGUUGGGCUGUUCGCCCAUUAAAGCGGUACGCGAGCUGGGUUUAGAACGUCGUGAGACAGUUCGGUCCCUAUCCGCCGUGCGCGUUGGAGUCUUGAGAAGGGCUGUCCCUAGUACGAGAGGACCGGGACGGACGAACCUCUGGUGUGCCAGUUGUCCUGCCAAGGGCAUGGCUGGUUGGCUACGUUCGGAAGGGAUAACCGCUGAAAGCAUCUAAGCGGGAAGCCUGCUUCGAGAUGAGGUCUCCCACCACCUUGAGUGGUUAAGGCCCCCGAGUAGACGAUCGGGUUGAUAGGCCGGAUGUGGAAGCCUGGUAACAGGUGGAGCUGACCGGUACUAAUAGGCCGAGGGCUUGCCCA